AAAUAGAUACCCGGGUAGUCCACGCCGUAAACGAUGAGUGCUAAGUGUUGGGGGGUUUCCGCCCCUCAGUGCUGCAGCUAACGCAUUAAGCACUCCGCCUGGGGAGUACGGUCGCAAGACUGAAACUCAAAGGAAUUGACGGGGGGCCCGCACAAGCGGUGGAGCAUGUGGUUUAAUUCGAAGCAACGCGAAGAACCUUACCAGGUCUUGACAUCCCGGUGACCACUAUGGAGACAUAGUUUCCCCUUCGGGGGCAACGGUGACAGGUGGUGCAUGGUUGUCGUCAGCUCGUGUCGUGAGAUGUUGGGUUAAGUCCCGCAACGAGCGCAACCCUUAUUCUUAGUUGCCAUCAUUCAGUUGGGCACUCUAAGGAGACUGCCGGUGAUAAACCGGAGGAAGUGGGGAUGACGUCAAAUCAUCAUGCCCCUUAUGACCUGGGCUACACACGUGCUACAAUGGACGGUACAAACGGUUGCCAACCCGCGAGGGGGAGCUAAUCCGAUAAAACCGUUCUCAGUUCGGAUUGUAGGCUGCAACUCGCCUACA
This 546-nucleotide ribosomal RNA is filed under the name uncultured bacterium. RNAcentral's name for it is "bacterial SSU rRNA". It matches the Rfam family "Bacterial small subunit ribosomal RNA", at positions 776 to 1320 of the family's 1533-position model. The record is from RNAcentral.